UACAUGACUAGAAAGUCUGUGCCAAAGUCUGU
This 32-nucleotide non-coding RNA is filed under the name Homo sapiens (human). The record is from RNAcentral. Lineage: Eukaryota; Metazoa; Chordata; Mammalia; Primates; Hominidae.